RNAcentral lists this long non-coding RNA (676 nucleotides) under Malus domestica (apple). RNAcentral's name for it is "long non-coding RNA (MDOM_LNC003771)". The record is from RNAcentral. Lineage: Eukaryota; Viridiplantae; Streptophyta; Magnoliopsida; Rosales; Rosaceae.
AGCUGUAAAAAAUCAUCAAAAUCGAAGUUAAAAUAACCGUUAAAUCGUGAUUUUUUGUUUGUAACCGUCAAAAAGUUUUGUCCCGUUACUUGAUCUCUGAAUGUUUGUUUUUGUGAUUUUUGGCAUAUGCGAUCUCAAAGCAUAUAUAAACAAGUUUAACGGUUGGAUCAAUGCAAUUAGUUUCAUAGAAUGCAUAUCCCAUCAAAAUGAUAGAUUCACUAACUCUUAGAGUUUAUUUAUACUUUCAUUAAGUAUAACAUAAGACUUUGUGGUAUCCACUAGUGUAAAUAUUUUAAAUUGAAGAUCGAGCUCAUUCAUUGUAUUCAUGUAGGGUCAAGGAGUGUAUCUGUUAAAAAUCAUCAAAAUCAGAGUUAAAAUCACCGUUAAAUCAUGAUUUUUCUUUUAUAACCGUUGAAAAGUUUUGUCCUAUUACUUGAUCUCUGAAUGUUUGUUUUUUGAGAUUUUUUGCUGAUGUGAUCUUGAAGCAUAUACAAACAAGUUUGAUGGUUGGAUCGUUGAAAUUAGUUUCGUAGUAUUCGUAUCCCAUUAAGUUCAAUGGUGUGUGUAUAUAUAUAUUUAUAAAGUAGAAUUAAAUUUAUUUAUUUUGUAUGUAUAACACUUAAGAAAUUGAAUGGUAUGUAUAUUUAAGCUGAUCCAAUGGUCACCAAUUUUUUAA